This 318-nucleotide long non-coding RNA is filed under the name Phoenix dactylifera (date palm). RNAcentral's name for it is "long non-coding RNA (PDAC_LNC019072)". Lineage: Eukaryota; Viridiplantae; Streptophyta; Magnoliopsida; Arecales; Arecaceae. The record is from RNAcentral.
AUCCAACAUGUGUUAGCAAAUGAUUGCAUGAUUUUGGAUAAAUAGCAUCCAUAAUGAUUAUUAUAUUAUUUACACAUUAUUAUGAUGAGGUAGAAAGAUGCAUGAAAAGAAAAAUAAAGUUUUCAGCAUGAUCAUGAAUUUUAUUCAGCAUGAUGCCAUUACUCACUUUUCAAUGUACCGAUGAGAAAAGAUUUAUGAAAAGCAUGAUAUGUUUUUAAGAACUCUCAGAUCGCUAUGUACGACCCUCGCCAGCGGGUUAUAGUAGCUUGGUUUAGACCCUGCCAACGGGGAACAAUAGUUGGCAAAGAUUAUGGCCCU